GACGAACGCUGGCGGCGUGCUUAACACAUGCAAGUCGAACGGAAAGGCCCUGCUUUUGUGGGGUGCUCGAGUGGCGAACGGGUGAGUAACACGUGAGUAACCUGCCCUUGACUUUGGGAUAACUUCAGGAAACUGGGGCUAAUACCGGAUAGGAGCUCCUGCUGCAUGGUGGGGGUUGGAAAGUUUCGGCGGUUGGGGAUGGACUCGCGGCUUAUCAGCUUGUUGGUGGGGUAGUGGCUUACCAAGGCUUUGACGGGUAGCCGGCCUGAGAGGGUGACCGGCCACCUGGGGACUGAGGUACGGCCCAGACUCCUACGGGAGGCAGCAGUGGGGAAUAUUGCACAAUGGGCGGAAGCCUGAUGCAGCAACGCCGCGUGCGGGAUGACGGCCUUCGGGUUGUAAACCGCUUUCGCCUGUGACGAAGCGUGAGUGACGGUAAUGGGUAAAGAAGCACCGGCUAACUACGUG
This 468-nucleotide ribosomal RNA is filed under the name uncultured bacterium. RNAcentral's name for it is "partial 16S ribosomal RNA". It matches the Rfam family "Bacterial small subunit ribosomal RNA", at positions 28 to 507 of the family's 1533-position model. The record is from RNAcentral.